UGGCUAUAGGAAAUUGUUAGUGGCAGACGGGUGAGUAAUGCGUAGGAAUCUACCUAGUAGUACGGAAUAGCCAUUAGAAAUGGUGGGUAAUACUGUAUAAUCCCCGAGGGGGAAAGAUUUAUCGCUAUUAGAUGAGCCUACGUUAGAUUAGCUAGUUGGUGAGGUAAUGGCUUACCAAGGCUAUGAUCUAUAGCUGGUCUGAGAGGACGAUCAGCCACACUGGAACUGAGAUACGGUCCAGACUCCUACGGGAGGCAGCAGUGGGGAAUAUUGGACAAUGGGCGAAAGCCUGAUCCAGCUAUGCCGCGUGAGUGAAGAAGGCCUUCGGGUUGUAAAACUCUUUCAAUAGGGAAGAUA
Molecule: ribosomal RNA, 357 nt
Filed under: uncultured Ehrlichia sp.
Lineage: Bacteria; Pseudomonadati; Pseudomonadota; Alphaproteobacteria; Rickettsiales; Anaplasmataceae
Description: bacterial SSU rRNA
Rfam family: Bacterial small subunit ribosomal RNA
Source: RNAcentral